RNAcentral lists this ribosomal RNA (483 nucleotides) under uncultured bacterium. RNAcentral describes it as "partial 16S ribosomal RNA". It matches the Rfam family "Bacterial small subunit ribosomal RNA", at positions 30 to 506 of the family's 1533-position model. The record is from RNAcentral.
AUUGAACGCUGGCGGCAGGCCUAACACAUGCAAGUCGAGCGGAUGAAGGGAGCUUGCUCCUGGAUUCAGCGGCGGACGGGUGAGUAAUGCCUAGGAAUCUGCCUGGUAGUGGGGGAUAACGUCCGGAAACGGGCGCUAAUACCGCAUACGUCCUGAGGGAGAAAGUGGGGGAUCUUCGGACCUCACGCUAUCAGAUGAGCCUAGGUCGGAUUAGCUAGUUGGUGGGGUAAAGGCCUACCAAGGCGACGAUCCGUAACUGGUCUGAGAGGAUGAUCAGUCAAACUGGAACUGAGACACGGUCCAGACUCCUACGGGAGGCAGCAGGGGGGAAUUUUGGACAAUGGGCGAAAGCCUGAUCCAGCCAGGCCGGGUGUGUGAAGAAGGUCUUCGGUUUGUAAAGCUCUUUAAGUUGGGAGGAAGGGCAGUAAGUUAAUACCUUGCUGUUUUGACGUUACCAACAGAAUAAGCACCGGCUAACUUCGU